UACGUAGGGCGCGAGCGUUGUCCGGAAUUAUUGGGCGUAAAGAGCUCGUAGGCGGCCAGUUGCGUCCGCUGUGAAAACCCGGGGCUCAACCCCGGGCUUGCAGUGGAUACGGGCUGGCUAGAGGCAGGCAGGGGAGAACGGAAUUCCCGGUGUAGCGGUGAAAUGCGCAGAUAUCGGGAGGAACACCGGUGGCGAAGGCGGUUCUCUGGGCAUUACCUGACGCUGAGGAGCGAAAGUGUGGGGAGCGAACAGG
RNAcentral lists this ribosomal RNA (253 nucleotides) under uncultured bacterium. Its description in RNAcentral is "partial 16S ribosomal RNA". It matches the Rfam family "Bacterial small subunit ribosomal RNA", at positions 524 to 776 of the family's 1533-position model. The record is from RNAcentral.